This is a long non-coding RNA of Dermacentor andersoni, 2162 nucleotides long. RefSeq lists it as uncharacterized. Lineage: Eukaryota; Metazoa; Arthropoda; Arachnida; Ixodida; Ixodidae. The record is from RefSeq and is a predicted model, not a curated record.
CAAAUGGCCACAGAGGGCGAAAAAAUCGACCGCGCGCUGCUGCUAACAAAGCCAGCAUAGUAAUAUCACUUCGGGAUGCUUACGUUAGUUUGAACAUUUUCCGCUGGAGGCGCCGUAAUAAGCGCAAUUUUUUUUUGCAAACUUUCUCCUACAAUUACCGAAGUACGUUUAUUACAUGAAAAAGAGGGCGAAAUUAUCAUUGCUAAUUUGAUAUUGUAUUCUUUGUAAGUAAGUUUAUUGUUUCUUUGUCAUUAUAAACGCAAAUAGCGUUCAGCAUCAUCGAUCUUUCACGUGACCUCUGGCCUGGAUUUAAAAUUUUUACCGGUAUUUUCGAGUGCAUGGCGGCACGGAUUCAUUCGUUCGUGCGCUCAGGCUGGUUGCUUCUUUUUCGCUAAAACUAGUUUAUUGCGCUUCGGUGUCACGCGUUAUUUAACCUGGGGUGAAGUGACGUGUUUGCAAGCGGACAUGUAAGCCCGAAAGUUGGGUAUCAGUCGUGAGCCAUUCGGAACACGUCUGCAUCGAAACGGGAGCUGGAUUCUGGUGCGGCUGACAACGGCAAUAACGACAUGCAGUAAUGAGGAUGGCACCAGUAUAAAGCAACACACUCCACACACUAAACAGAAGCUGCUGCCUGCUACAACAAGGCCAUUGUGUGGACAUUGGCUGCUACUACAAGAGUCCAUGCCAAGCAUACCUUGGUCAUCACAGGAGCUCCUAUCCACACCAACAGAAAGGGGCUGGAGCUGAAUUUGCAAGGCUUUUACACCACGAACAAAGAAGUGCAUGCAGAAGAAUUUACAUGAGAUAUCAAGUCUGCAGAGCACUGUGUCAAGACUGAAAAGAGCUUCAGCCACCAUUCCACCAGCGCGGACAAAUUGGCUGAGUCAUCCAGGUAACUCAAAAAGGACUUUAUGGAAAUUCUUCGUCUUCAGGUGCGCCUGCAACUUCUGAUCAAGCUCGGACGACGCUGGCCAAAAGAGUUCCAUCAGUUUGCCCUUAAUCAGCUUCCUGGCCAUGUCAAUUCCAUUUGUGCCAAGUGUAAUUUUUCUUCUAUAAAUGCAAGGUUUUUCAUUGCCCAUUCUCGUUAGAGAUCAUUCAUCCUCAUCCAAACAUAAAGGUCAACCGAUUCUUUGCUGAUACUUAACACCAGUCACUGUCUAGUAGCAUAACAUAUCUGUAGCAGUACCUUUUAGUGCAUGUUGUCAUGCACAAUUCCUCUCCUGAAAUAGCUGAUGCAACAUCGACAUGUUUCUUGCAUUAACCUACACACUGUUUGCUAUGCACCAUUUUACUUUUCUUGAUGUUUUUGGCCUUCAAUGCUUGCAGAGCAGGGUGGCUUCUCUCUUGAAUGCAAGCUUUCUCAUUUUCCAUAUUCCUAGUCUCGUUGAUGGUUGCUCUUCUUCCUCGAUAGCCUGGGUCUUUGCGCAAGCUACACUGAAUGAUAGAUUGCAGAAUCUGGUUUUGCUGCCCCACUUGGUUGUGGUCGCCGUGUUACAUUUCUCUGAUGUGGGGGCCUGCUCAGUUACAUUGGUAAGCAGUCCCUCGAGGUAAGCAUUUGCUCCUGCAGUCCGCACAGCGACAUGGACUCCCAGUGUACACACACCAUAACUGGUGCUCCCCGUUCAUUUUUUCCUGCUGCAGCCAUGGGCAAAUUGUGCUUGUGGCCUACCUCGGCCAUGAUUUGCUCAAAACUGAGACCAGCAUAUGUGCUUACAUGGUUCGAAGUGUAUGAAGUUGAUAGCCGUACGGGGGGAAAUGCCUGCAAAAAUGGCUGCCAAAGGUGAUGCCCACGAAAGCGACUUGUCCAUAUUGAGACAAAGUGGGACACCAAAUGUGAGCCACACAUUAGUGGCCUUCGACAGAAAAGAAACAUGCAGGUUGGAAAGGAGUUAAUGCUAAAAUGUCGGAUAGUCCAUUUCGCUGUGUUGGUUGUGGCAGCAGAUGCCUGCGUCACCUGAUUGCUUCGCAAUGGAAGUUGCUCAUCUUCAACGGCUACUGUCGUUUCAAACAGGUGCGACGCUCUGUCCAAUCUGUUUGUACUGCUGUUUGUCGCUCGUUACCAGACCACCACAUGUGACGAAGGCAAGCAUUAUGCCUGUAAGUAGGCGGCUGAAUGUAUCCUAAGAGACCCGUGUAUGUGAAUGCUCACUGUUGCCAUAUGG